CAGUAAGGAUGUCUUUCAACGUUUACUUUUUAAAAUAAAGUGCAAAAGAAGUAAAACACAGCAGGGACACAUAAUCUUUGGAUGCACAGAAAUAGAAAUUGGAUGAAGAUGACAGUCAUUAUUCUCUGAAUAUUCAAAAUAAUUAAAUGUAAUUAGAAAUACAACUUUUUGAUUAUCACCAUUAUUGAUAUGUUAUAGGAACAUAAUUAUUAUUGAAAAAGACAUAAGUAACUACAUGACAUCUUCCAAAUGCUUCAUGGUGCGAAGGAAUUUUAAGAAAUUAAUAUUAAGAUAUGACUAAGGCAUGGAAAACAAGAUUGUUGUAAAUAACAAACUGCAUUAUUUACACACCGAUUUUUUUUAAAUCCAUCUGAAAUGUUGCUAAAAAUAUUUAGGGACUCUUUCUAGUUUUAGAGAUCUUUAAAUUUUUAUAAUACCUUGUAAAUUAAAAAAAUGGGAAUUUUCUUUGUUAUGCCUUUUUCGAGAUUAACCACACGUAGGAAUAAUAUAAAUAAAAAAUGAAAUCGCUUUUUCUAAUUUUAACAAGCUUUUAUUUUUUUUUCACUUAAAAGAUAAUCCUUAACCAGCUAUGUUGGUAUGUUUAUCUCAAUUUAAAUAAAAGUUAAUUUUUUUACCCUCCAAUCCUCGAUCUCAAACACCAAUCAGAGGUCGGUGACGUCACAACUCAAUAACAAUUUAGUAGUGUGGCCAGUUUUAGUGAAUGUCAGUGCAUUUAGUAUUUAUAAUGUACUUUUUAAUGAAUAUAAUAAUGCUAGAUAAUGAAGACAUCAUUAAUAAAUGUUUUUAUAAAUACGACAUAUGUUACUAGCAAAACUUUCGAUCGAUAUGUCGACGAAAAAUAGAAAGUCCUUUACACUAGCAGCUAAUUCAAUUUGCAUCUGGUCACAUUGAAUCAGCUGUUGGAUACUCUGGUCAAUAAUUUACCCGACGUUUUUACGGUGAAGGAAAACAACUUAUGCCUGCACAUAUCGGCGAAGAAAUGCAAAGAUAUGUGUGAAGUCAACCCACAUUGGGCUAGCGUGGUUGACUGGCCUAGACACACCUUACUUUGGGUAGGCUCCUGGCCCCUUAGUGGAGACGUACAAUGAGCUGUUGUUACCAGCCUGGUGCUGAUGAAGCCAACGGUCAGCCAUGGUUUUAACACUUGAACUUUUAAGGUUUUAACUCUUUUGAUCCUUAAAGUUUUUAUAAACGUAUCUGUAAGUAAAUUUUAAUUUUUAAUAGUUCAGGUUCAUUAUAUUUCAAAUAUUAAAGUGCAGUUUUUGUGUAUAAUGGCGAUUCGACUUUAGUUUUUUUAUUUAGUUAAUACAAAUACCUAAAUGUUUAACACAUAACUUUUUUUGUCUUAUGUUUUCUAACCUAACAAAUUAACAAGAAUUUUUAAUAAGUUAUUUACAUUCUUGAGUUAUUUUCAGUACAAUAAUACCACAUUCAUACAUUUACGUUUUUCGAUUUCCUCUUUGGAGGUCCUCUACCUUGUCUUCUAAAACAGUUAUAUUAUCUUUAAUUAUUUUUAGCUUGUAUUUCCAUCUACGACCUCCUCCAUAAUUUAUAACAUCCAUGGUCAAUAUAGGGCGCGUCAUGUAAAAAGAAUGGAGAAAGCGUUUGCGCAUUGGUAACCUCACGCACGAAAACGAUCGACGUUACGCCUUUAUUUUAUUUAUUAAAUUGUUAACAAACAUUAAAUAGAAUGUCAAUAAAAAAAUAACAACGAAUAUUUGAUUAAUUCUGCAAAAUUUAAUUAAGUACAAACACAGUUAAGUAAAAUUAAGGUACCGUAAUGCUUUCCAUUAAGCCCCUCUUCAUGAAACAGUAUACAAUUAAAUAUGUUUUCUAUCUUGUCAAUGUAAAGCUAUUUCGUAAUAAAACUUUUGCACUCGAUGGUAUUUAGCUACUGAACGUAAUGUCAAACACAGCGCGGGAAACAAAAGUGAAAUGAACCAAUAGCGGCCCGGGACGCGUGACGUCACACUACCUCAUACCACCAAAUAGACCGAUAAAUCGCCUAAUGUGCAGCUUGUGCUUGUCGUUAGCGUUCUUGUUCUUUUUACAUGACGCAAUUGUACUUAUUUCAAAGUGCAUUACUCAACAGAAUUUAUUCCUACUUAAAAAACAAAAGUGAGUGUCCUGUGUGUUCUUUCAAAUUAUUCUCUACAUUUAUACCAAAUGUCAUCGAAAUC
Long non-coding RNA from Papilio polytes (common Mormon), 2201 nucleotides. RefSeq lists it as uncharacterized. The transcript has 3 exons. The record is from RefSeq and is a predicted model, not a curated record. NCBI's taxonomy places the organism in Eukaryota, Metazoa, Arthropoda, Insecta, Lepidoptera, Papilionidae.